UACGAAGGGGACUAGCGUUGUUCGGAAUUACUGGGCGUAAAGCGCACGUAGGCGGAUUUGUAAGUCAGGGGUGAAAUCCCGGGGCUCAACCUCGGAACUGCCUUUGAUACUGCAAGUCUCGAGUCCGAUAGAGGUGGGUGGAAUUCCUAGUGUAGAGGUGAAAUUCGUAGAUAUUAGGAAGAACACCGGUGGCGAAGGCGGCCCACUGGAUCGGUACUGACGCUGAGGUGCGAAGGCGUGGGGAGCAAACAGG
RNAcentral lists this ribosomal RNA (253 nucleotides) under uncultured bacterium. Its description in RNAcentral is "partial 16S ribosomal RNA". It matches the Rfam family "Bacterial small subunit ribosomal RNA", at positions 524 to 776 of the family's 1533-position model. The record is from RNAcentral.